CCCUCGGUCGUCUAGUUGGUUCAUGGCGUCUGGCUGUAAACCAGAAUGUCGCGCGUUCGACUCGCGCCUGAGGGA
Molecule: transfer RNA, 75 nt
Filed under: Blumeria hordei DH14
Lineage: Eukaryota; Fungi; Ascomycota; Leotiomycetes; Helotiales; Erysiphaceae
Description: tRNA-Tyr (GTA) (tRNA-Tyr-GTA-3-1)
Rfam family: tRNA
About the family: Transfer RNA (tRNA) molecules are approximately 80 nucleotides in length. Their secondary structure includes four short double-helical elements and three loops (D, anti-codon, and T loops). Further hydrogen bonds mediate the characteristic L-shaped molecular structure. tRNAs have two regions of fundamental functional importance: the anti-codon, which is responsible for specific mRNA codon recognition, and the 3' end, to which the tRNAs corresponding amino acid is attached (by aminoacyl-tRNA synthetases). tRNAs cope with the degeneracy of the genetic code in two manners: having more than one tRNA (with a specific anti-codon) for a particular amino acid; and 'wobble' base-pairing, i.e. permitting non-standard base-pairing at the 3rd anti-codon position.
Source: RNAcentral